Molecule: ribosomal RNA, 465 nt
Filed under: uncultured bacterium
Lineage: Bacteria
Description: partial 16S ribosomal RNA
Rfam family: Bacterial small subunit ribosomal RNA
Source: RNAcentral
GACGAACGCUGGCGGCGUGCUUAACACAUGCAAGUCGAGCGAGGCCCCUCCUUCGGGAGGGUGUCCUAGCGGCGAACGGGUGAGUAACACGUGGGCAACCUGCCCUCAGCUCUGGGAUAACUCCGGGAAACCGGGGCUAAUACCGGAUACGACCUCCACGGGCAUCUGCGGAGGUGGAAAGUUUUUCGGCUGAGGAUGGGCCCGAGGCCUAUCAGCUAGUUGGUGGGGUAGUGGCCCGCCAAGGCGACGACGGGUAGCCGGCCUGAGAGGGCGACCGGCCACACUGGGACUGAGACACGGCCCAGACUCCUACGGGAGGCAGCAGUGGGGAAUAUUGCGCAAUGGGCGAAAGCCUGACGCAGCGACGCCGCGUGAGGGACGAAGGCCUUCGGGUUGUAAACCUCUUUCAGCAGGGACGAAGCGAAAGUGACGGUACCUGCAGAAGAAGCACCGGCCAACUACGUG